GUUUAAUGGUACAUUCCUAGAUACGUGGGGCUUCUGGAGUUGUACAAGAUGUUAGAUUCUAAAUGAACAGAGUAAGACUCACGGACGACUAAUAAAGCUCAAACCAAGUUUAUUCAACCACUGGGUCAUUCAGCUGUAUAAGACAAAGACAUGUUUACACAAGCACAAGUAUUUAUACCCCCCUUUAGGCUUUUGUCUCCUCCUUUUCUCUAAACACUACAUCUCUGUUGCUAGGCAGGAAGUUAUGUGAUGUGGGUAAUAAAACUGUUCCUUCUCCUUUCAUGGGACUUGACCUGACCUCGGCCCACAUUCCUCACUAAUCUUCAGCUAUCCACCCUUAUCAGUGAUCACAACCACGUGAUUGCCUUUUUCCUUACUUAGUAACUUUCCAAAACCGUGGAUCUUAUCCACCCUCAAUUAAACCCACCAUAUACAUUCCUCCUACAUAUAACCAUUAACUUCUGGUGUAGCAAGUAUUUCAAAUUACAACCUAACAAAGAGAAAUGCAGACCGGAGGACUUAGCCUACCAAUUGAAUGAAAUCAACAGUGUGUAAUGUAUUUUUUUUGUGUGUGUUGCUUUUGUGGUCAUGUAUGUUUGAUCAGUUUUUGUGUCAAUGUGCAUUAUUCAUACUAUUAGGAAGAAGCUUGCUGAACGGUCUGAAGAAAGCCUUGAGGUGUCAGAAUUCACAGUCAAAGGUAAAAGAGACAAAAUCAAUUUGUCUGACCUCAUUGGAACCUUGGGUAAGACCCCCAGUGCUUUAAUGAAGACGAAGAAGCAGCUGAAGAACUUUCAACACAACCAGAGCACCCUGGAAACACCCCUGACCAGGAAGUAGACAGAACGGAUCCAAAGAGAAGUGGCUUUUGAGAACGUCAAAAGAGGUGUCCUGCUGGCAGAGUGUGGUCCUACAGAACCAGAAGGCAUAGCAGCUGGUCUUCCCACUGAACCAGGAGCCAUCUGGCCCAAAACGCAUAGAGCAGGUGGUGGCUGGAUGGACGGACCCAAACCUUCCUAGAACAAGAUAUAUUCAGCCUCCUGCACAUGAACAAGCAGCCUCUCCAUGACCCUGUUCUGACUCCCACUGAGGAGGCUUCUCUGAGGGCCAUGAAUCUGGAGGGAGUCCCACCUCAAGCAUCCAGCAUGGGGUCAUAUGCAUAAGAUAAGCUAAAUCUGGUGUGUUAGUGCUGGGCAAGGGCAAAGACCUGCACACACUACUGCCCUUGACUUUAUUUUGUAUGUGCACUAAAAGGACAAUGUACUGGAAAAACAACAAUGCACAAAGGUUUUUCUAGAUGGUUAUUGAUGGUCUCACUUACCUACAACCAAUAUAUAAAACUUGAUUUUUUUUUUGUCAGGCUAAGAUCCGCCAUGCAGAUCUCCAAAAAGCCAGAGCUCUAUCGUCUUAUCAUGAAGCGAAAGUCAAAUGGGAAAUAAAAAUUAAAAACCGGCACAUAUCCUUCCAAUAUAGUGUACAGUUGACUAGGGCAUAUCCUUCCAUGAGUAACUCAGCAGUAAUCCGCUUCAAAAGAUCAUCUCUUUAUUCAAGCCUCCCAAUUCACUCUCUUCCUCCACCUGCCCUCUUUGUACAUAGUGCCGGAUUAUUAUUUUAAGCCCCUUUUCUCCCCAAUUUCGUGAUUACGAUCUUGUCUCAUCGCUGCAGCUCCUCAACGACCAAACUACAGAGGCAUGCUAUUGGGGGCCCGAUCGGCAGCCAGCACUAAAGCUUUAAGAAGUUGGCAACUUGUCCUACAGAUUCCAAAUUCCUGCAGGUAGGUUAUUUGCUUCCUGUGUGAACUCAGCCCAAAUGUUCAGGGAAUGCGCAAGGUGUCAUCACCCAUGCCCCAAUACUAACUUGAAGGACAACACUACUGUGUUUACCUGGAUGCAUGCCACCCAACACCACGGUUUAAUUUGUGUUAGAACUUAAGAACACCAAAUCUAAUAUUUCAACCUUUGUGAAUCUAUGAAACGAGAUGAUCCAUUUUUGUCUGCACUUAUUGCACAAAUGAUAUGAAAUGUCAUUGAAUGUAUGAUAAGAAUUCAAAGAAAAGAGAUACAUUUACCAAUAAAU
This is a long non-coding RNA of Oncorhynchus masou masou (cherry salmon), 2073 nucleotides long. RefSeq lists it as uncharacterized. The record is from RefSeq and is a predicted model, not a curated record. NCBI's taxonomy places the organism in Eukaryota, Metazoa, Chordata, Actinopteri, Salmoniformes, Salmonidae. The transcript is spliced from 4 exons.